CCCCCAUUCUACACCAAGGCUAGGUACUUGCCUUGAACCAGGUUCUCGGAGAUGGUGUUUCCAGAGUCUCAGAAGCCUUAAACCACAAGGACAGGACCACAUUCCAGGCAUCCCAAGUUAGAAAACUGAAAGAAAACAUUUUUUAAAAAAAGACCUUGUUUCCCAAGGUCUCACAUUUCCACAGUGCACACAAUUAGGUACUUCAACUGCAAUCAGAUUAACUGGCCUGCUUCAGGAAUUUCAAAAUCCCACUUAGACUUGUUCUGUGGGAAUGCACAAUACAAGUUCUAAACAGGUGACUUGAAAACAUUCAGAGCACAGUCUUUGCAAAACAGAGACUUUAGUUCUAAAAUAGCAAGACAGAAUAUUUUCAAGUGUGGAAACCAGAGAUUAGAAAAUUACAGAGCUUUGAUGCUGCAUGCAAUGCCGGCAGGACUAUCACUUCAAAGUAAGCUUGAGUCCCUUUUAGGAAAAUGUAAUAGAAAUGUCUUGCUGCAGGGAGGAGGCUGCUGGGAAGGCAAGUUUAUCAGAGAUAGACACUGUUGCUAUUUUGGUGUUUGUUUUGAAUCAGCUGAAAAGUCCACACCAGACAUGCAUCUGACCACAUUUUUAUUUCAAAAUUUUUGGUCCCUGUAGAUUCUAUUUCAAAUUUUGACAGCUAGAAAUCUAUUAGUAUUACAGUUCCCAGAAUUCUGGUAGCCCUAGCUCUAGCUGGCUUCACACACUGUUGGGCUUUUUUUUUUUUUUCCCAUCAAUUUUUAAAACAUUUCUUUGGAACUUCACUUACUCUGUGUUUAAAGUAUGAGGCUGAAUUAUUUUUAAAAUGCUGUAAGGGUCACAUAUUGGUCAAAUCAUUCUCACUGCUGCUUGACAAAAAUAUAGUGCAGAGGUCUUUAAAGUUAUUGUCAAAUUAAGUGCAUGCAUAGAAGAAAAAGAUCUGCUGGAUUUCAUGCUCACACGGGUGACCUGGAGGGAAGGGAAAGGAUACCCAGUGACAAGAUUCUUGGAAGGUGAGGAAAUGAGCAAGAAGCAUUACAUCAUAAGGAGAAAGUCUGUGCCGUCCAGAGAGCCUAUGUGCCUUCUGCAGUAUGCAGCUGUUGGGCUCUUGGAUUCUUCCCAGAUUCUGUGCAGGGUCCCCAGAGCCAUAGCUACUUUGGAGUGCACCGAGCUACAAUCAAUACAGUGCAAUAUAAAUGCUGAGCACCUGUCAUGGUCUUGGAUGCUGGAUUUAUUCAGGUAAAGUCAAGUCUUUGCUCAUUGGAAUUCCUAGUUCCUUGACCCUCGAUUCUCUAAGUAAGGGAGACUUUCAUCAGAACAUCUUUUGUGUUAACCUGUGUGGUUGACAUUCAUUCUAACUGUAUGUCUUCUACUUUUCCACCUUCAUAGCUAGAGUAUGAUUCAUUUCUGGCUUAUAAACUCUGCAGUGUCUGAAAUUGCUCCUCUGAAUAUCAACUACUAUUGCACAUGACGUAUUGAGGGCCCCAGAGAUUGGGCUUCCCUGGAUUGUUGGGGCUUGGAAUUCAGAAGAGGCUGUGGGGAAGGGGUUUGGCAAUUGAGGCCAGGCAUAAAA
This is a long non-coding RNA of Ictidomys tridecemlineatus (thirteen-lined ground squirrel), 1570 nucleotides long. Lineage: Eukaryota; Metazoa; Chordata; Mammalia; Rodentia; Sciuridae. The record is from Ensembl.